AUAACUAAGCGGAGGAACAGAAACCAACAGGGAUUCCCUCAGUAACGGCGAGUGAAGCGGGAUCAGCCCAGCGCCGAAUCCGCCGGGCCCUCGACGGCCGGCCGGAACUGUGGCGUACGGGACGACGGACGGUCGGCGGGGAGGAGCCUCAGUCCCUCCGAGCGGGGCCCUUCCCACAGCGGGUGCCAGGCCUCUGCCGGCUCCCUUCCCCGCCCGCCGCCGCCGUCCCAGGAGUCGGGUCGCUUGGGAGUGCAGCCCGAAGCGGGUGGUAAACUCCACCUAAGGCUAAAUACUGGCGCGAGGCCGAUAGCGGACAAGUACNGUGAGGGAACGUUGAAAAGAACUUU
RNAcentral lists this ribosomal RNA (347 nucleotides) under Duvaucelia plebia. RNAcentral's name for it is "eukaryotic LSU rRNA". It matches the Rfam family "Eukaryotic large subunit ribosomal RNA", at positions 42 to 377 of the family's 3401-position model. Lineage: Eukaryota; Metazoa; Mollusca; Gastropoda; Nudibranchia; Tritoniidae. The record is from RNAcentral.